GACGAACGCUGGCGGCGUGCUUAACACAUGCCAGUCGAACGGAAAGGCCCUGCUUUUGUGGGGUGCUCGAGUGGCGAACGGGUGAGUAACACGUGAGUAACCUGCCCUUGACUUUGGGAUAACUUCAGGAAACUGGGGCUAAUACCGGAUAGGAGCUCCUGCUGCAUGGUGGGGGUUGGAAAGUUUCGGCGGUUGGGGAUGGACUCGCGGCUUAUCAGCUUGUUGGUGGGGUAGUGGCUUACCAAGGCUUUGACGGGUAGCCGGCCUGAGAGGGUGACCGGCCACAAUGGGACUGAGAGACGGCCCAGACUCCUACGGGAGGCAGCAGUGGGGAAUAUUGCACAGUGGGCGGAAGCCUGAUGCGGCAACGCCGCGUGCGGGAUGACGGCCUGCGGGUUGUAAACCGCUUUCGCCUGUGACGAAGCGUGAGUGACGGUAAUGGGUAAAGAAGCACCGGCUAACUACGUG
Molecule: ribosomal RNA, 468 nt
Filed under: uncultured bacterium
Lineage: Bacteria
Description: partial 16S ribosomal RNA
Rfam family: Bacterial small subunit ribosomal RNA
Source: RNAcentral